GAUGUCAACGAAUGCGCAACUGUCCCUUGUAAGAACGGAGCCUCGUGUAACAAUCUCCUCAACGCGUAUUCCUGCACGUGCGUACCGGGAUGGCGGGGAACAAACUGUGAACAAGAUAUCAACGAAUGCGCUAUCGUCCCAUGUAGAAACAACGCCACGUGCAACAACCUUCUGAACGCGUACUCGUGCACUUGCGCACCGGGCUGGCAGGGAACAAACUGUGACCAGGAUAUCAACGAAUGCGCACCCGCCCCAUGUAAAAACAACGCCCCAUGCAAAAACCUUCUGAACGCGUACUCGUGCACUUGCUCACCGGGCUGGCAGGGAACGAACUGUGACCAGGGUAU
Dreissena polymorpha is the source of this 347-nucleotide long non-coding RNA. RefSeq lists it as uncharacterized. Lineage: Eukaryota; Metazoa; Mollusca; Bivalvia; Myida; Dreissenidae. The record is from RefSeq and is a predicted model, not a curated record. The transcript has 3 exons.